Molecule: RNA transcript, 6588 nt
Organism: Vespula vulgaris
Lineage: Eukaryota; Metazoa; Arthropoda; Insecta; Hymenoptera; Vespidae
Exons: 5
Source: RefSeq, a predicted model, not a curated record
AUAUAUACAUAUACAUAUACAUAUACAUAUACAUAUAUGCAAUAACAUAUUUACGUAUUACAUAGACAGAAUCACACAAAGAGUAUUCUUUGAGUGAAACGUCGUAACGUGAUUUACGUCAUUUCUUCUCUACACAACGAUAUUUCACAAAUAUAUAUAUAUAUAUAUAUAUAUAUAUAUAUAUAUAUAUAUGAUGUAUGAUGUAUAUAUAUAUAAAAUCACGUAUGUAUGAUGCAUGCAAUGCAAUGCAAUGUAAUGUAACGUAAUGUACUGUAUGUUUGUAUAUGUAUGUAUAUAUGUAUAUAUAUGUGUGUGUAUAUAUAUAUACCACAGUACGAAGUAAGUCGAUAUCCUUGGAUAGAUUUCGACGAGGAAUAUUGCGUUUCGUGGCGAGUAAUCAUGUUCAGUACUCUCGUUUGCUCCGAUACGAUAACGGAGAUACGUUGAAAGUGAAAGAGAACGUUUUAUCUUUUGCGUAUCUAAACGGUAGCGAGUAUACGAAUCGAGAAUGGAGCCAGGAAGCGAGCGGACCGAUGAGAAGAAUUUAGAGAAGGACAAAGAGAAAAGUAAUCUAAUAAAGGAGAAGAAGGAAGAGACGUCGAGAGAAUUACGAGCUCAAACGGUGGAGGAAUUAACGAAUAUCGAAAAAAACGUCCUCGUAUUUUCUUCCUCGUACAAUCAAAGGAAAGAGAAAAAGGUCGUUAAAGUGGUCGAAGAAAAAACUGGUGAGAAAGGGAAUAACAAUAACAACAACGACAACAAGACUAAUAGUACUACCGCUAGUAGUAACAACGAUAGUAAAAAGAAGAAGAAGGAUAGCUUGGUGUUUGAGAAACCAUCGUUUCAAUUUUUCAAGGAAAAAGUCAAACCCGUUAAGCCGAUCAAACGUCCAACGACGAUCGGUAAUUUGUUGGUCGCAGGUUUGGACUCGAAAAACUUUUUAAUUAACGAAGACAAGCCCGAUAAGUCGAAGGUGGUCGAUGAAAAUUUUCGAGGGAAAGCGAUAAGGAGGGAAGAAGUUAAGAGGGACGGUGAAACGAGCUGCGAGAAGAAGAUCGAUCGUCGUAAGAGCCCGUUAGAUCGUUUGGAAGAAAGUAGAUCGAAGAUCAAAGUGUUACAGGAUAAUUUGGGUACACGGAUACAAGCUAUAACCGCGUUGAGUUACAACGAGGAAUUGUCGAAUCGUCCUUUGAGAUCGUCGAUCGAAAUCGAGACGAAUCAAAACCUUAACGAGAUAAAAUUUGAUUCAGACUUUUUAAAGAGGCAAAGAUUGGAGGAGAGAUUGGAGAUAGAGGAGAAACGUUCGACGUUGGAUAAGGAUUUGGAAACUAAACCGCGUUAUUGUAGAAAAGUAUCGGAAAUAGAGAAGAGAUGGUCCGGCGAAUUUCUUCACCGUAGAUCCAGAAACGAGGAUCGACCGGAGGAUUCUUCGUCUUCGGAGUCGUCCUACGUCGAAGAAUUUGGAAGCGCGUCGUCCCAGGAGAGUAUAGUCGUCGAAAGAUCCGUAAGAUCUUCCAACGCGAAAUUCGAGGAAGAUCGAGAAGCAAUAUCGUCGUGUAGAAGAGCGUCGGUCGAAUUUUUCGAAGGUAGUACGGUGAGCACGCUCGGUUCGGACUCGGGAUUGGACGAGGAGGAGAGGAAGCUGGCGAGCGACGGUUACAUCGAUCGUCGAUCACCGACCGCUAGAUCGUACGAGGAGGAUCCAUCGAGGAAAUCGAAGGAUCGAUCGAUACCGAGGGAGUCCGGGAGAAGGAGCGAAACGGUAAAUAAGAUAGAGCGAAGAACCGAGGACGGAUACGCCAAACUGAUAAGAGAAUUUACGAUGGAGCCUGGUGUUUCGAGAUUAAAGAAGGAAGAAAAGCAGAAAAAGAAGUCGGGCUUGAGGAGAUUGUUACCGGGUUUCUUCUCGCCGAAAGAUUCGAGGAAGGAUUACAACAAAAAGAAGGAGCGCAAGGAGAGAAGGAAACAGGACGAGAGACAUUUCGCUCGUUAUCAACAGAAUGGCAAUUACACGAGAUCGCCCGACACUAUGAAUUUGAACGAGGACAUAAAGAGGAACGUCAAAUUGGACAACAGUUUGAACGGUUCGAUAAUCGAGGAAAGAUUGGACGAGAUCAAGCGGGAACUGUUUCCGGAUCAGGGCUUGAUCACGAGUACGCCCGAUCACUUUUCGGAGAACGACGAGGGAAGGAAGAUCAUGGUGCAGGCGUCGAAGUAUCGUACGGAAAUAGCGCCGUGCAAUGCGAUCGUGGAGGAGGUCGGUAGAUGGUACGAUAGGAAAGUAUUAUCGAGCGAUGAUAAAAGAUACGAGGAGAGGAAGCUGGAGGAGGACGCGGGGACAAAACCGGGGUUGGAAUUGGAGAAUGGAAGAUCGACGUUGGGCGGUCAGUUGGAACGUAAGCACAGCCUUCAAGAGGCAAAUCGUGGUGGCCGAGCGUUCUUCCAAAGGAAUCACGGACCGUCCGGUAGGAUCUCGGCGCCACCCGCGGAAAGAUACUUUUCCAAGUCGAGAUUGGUGCGGCCGAUCGACAGACCGUUACCAGCCAUACCGCGUGCCAGAGUAGAACUAUCCAAUUACGAGAAUUACGAGAGGGAGGAGUGCCAAGAGGAACGGGAGUCGCGCGCGGAGAAUUAUGAAAACGAGCUCGGGAGAAGACGCUCGGUGACGGUUGUCGUCGACACGUCCAACGACAGGACCGGGAAAUAUUCCUCGCCGGGAUCUAGCCAGAAGUCCGGCGACUACGCGGAUUCCUGUUGCACGCCCAAUUCGAGCCAGAAGAGCGAGUUCUCGCCGUCGAGUUCGAAGAGCGGCGAGUAUUACUUGAACUCGCCGAGGACCAGCGCUAGGACCUCGCCGAGCGCGCAGAACGAAGGGAUUUACGCGAACGAGACGCCGCGAGCCGCGAAGAAUCCCGGUUAUCCCGGGGACGAGCUGGAGGAACGAGUGUACGACGAGACGCCACCGUCCCCGCUCGGAGAUGGUCCCGAUACCGAGCUCGAGAGAAAGCACGACGACGCCGAUACGACGAGCAACAGAAUUCCAAUGCCGAGUAAAAAGGGUUCUUCGUCGUCGCCGAGAGGAGCCUCGAGGAAGGCGCAGCCGAGCGAUCAAAUUUUGAUAGCCUCGCCCAAGAGAGAAGUUAUUUACGAGAGAAGGACGUUCGGUAACAUCGAACGUCUGCGUCCGGAAUCGCCGAUUGCCGCGACGAUGUGCAACGUGCCGAAGGACCGCGUCGAGAGGAUCAACGACGACGACGGUUUCUCCAGAAUGAAGGAGAGUCAAGGUCAACGGAAUCGCGACAACAUCGACGGCCACAGAUCGGCGAGCCUGCCGCCGUUCUCGAUGAUACCGACGGCGUCGGCCAGCUCGUCGGUCUGUACGAUGAAAAAUCUUCAAAGACCCGAACCAGUUUACGCCGGUUCUCGUCUACGAAGCGAGCCCGGCGCGUGCAGAAGAAACGUCAACGAUUCCUCCGGCCCGACGACGACGGCGACGGCGACGGCGACGGCGACGACGACGCCGUCGUCCUUGUCCGUCUCGAGUCAAGAGAAACUUUAUACCAGCAAAGGUUCUCUCCAACGCGAACCGAUCUCGGAGAGACAGAGAGCUCGCGUUCUCGUCGGCGAAAGUUCUCGGAUGGGCAACGAGGCCGGCGUUUAUCACGGACAAGGCUGUCCGAUAAGUUGCAACCCAGCGUCGCUGCCGUCGUCCUCGUCGUCGCCUUCGAAGAGACGAACCAUGCAACACUUGGAAGCCUUUUAUUGGCAGCAAAAGGCAUUGGAAGCUCAUAGGAAAACCGGAUUGCCCGUCAACAACGAAUCUCUGCGCGUCGAGCCAACGCGCGACAAGCAACCUACUUCUCACAAGAUAAACCUCCCGGAGAUUCGAGAGGCCGUCUAUUGGCAACAAUUGAAGAAACUCGACGAGGAACAACAACGGCGGAUUUACGAAAGAAAUUUAAUGGAGGAGUCUCGCCUCGACUCGGCUCGAUCGAUCUCGAGUCGUCCGGUCGGUCGAUCGGCCGUUCGUCAGCAACCGGCGACAACGUCCUCCGACGCCACCAUGGAGCGAUCCUAUUGGUCCAAUGAGAAAACGCGUCCGGCGAAAACCAGUAACCCCUUGAGACCCAACUUGAUGCACGGCCAAAAGGGUUCCACCCAACCCAUCCUAAUAGUCAGACCCCAGCAACACGCGAUUCGCGAUCGACAAGAGAUACCGAUUAAAUCCGUCGACGAUCGUUCCAGAUUGAGUCCCAGAAGAUCGAAGAGCGCCUCUCCGCAUUUACGCGUUAAUCGUAACGUCAACAAAUCCGACGGUAUAGUUUACAAUUGCGACGACGACAACGAUUGCAACAACGACGGCAACAAGCAACAAACCACUCGACCUCAUCCUAUAUUUAAACGUGGAAGUUUGGUGAGCAGCGACUCCGUCGAAUACUCCACUACCGGUACGAAAAGAGUUAGUUUUUCUAAUCAAAACGUUGGGACCGAAUUGUCCAACGGUAAUUGGCCGACCAAACAUGGGACGGCCUCCGAACCACCGACGAGAAGGCACAGAAGCGACGACAGCGUUUCCGACACCGAUUCCGUGUUCAUUCGUGAUCCCAAUUUGGAUAUCGUAUAUACCGGUUAUCCAACGACGUCUUCUUGUUCUCGUAAUUUAGAAGCUAGUUACGGUUAUCAUCGGACACCUCGGAACAACGACUCAAAGUCCCUUUCGCAAGAAUACGACGCCGACAGACCGCUUCCACCGUUACCCAAGGAACCUAACGUCGGUCAAGGACAAAGAUGGAACGUCCCUCCCAAUAACUAUAGGAAGUGGCCUGCCCUUUGCGAGAGCGAAAGCGGAAGCGAAGCUGCCGGCGAGGUUCAACGAAUAUUCGGCAGGAGCGACGUCAGUAGCGGCGCUAACGCCGCUUUGGGAGGACGUACAGUUUGGGGCGGAGGUGGUUCGCGUUCGGCAUCGAUCCCCCGGCUUGGUUGGUUCCCGUGACGUCACACGAAGGGAGAGGCGGCUCGAGCCGGGAUUCGCGCGUCGCUUUUCAAGGCCGAUGACGUGAGCUCAAAACGCUGAAGCGGCUACGAGAGAUGCUGAUACGUUGGAAGAGCAAGGACAAGAGCUCGAGCAAGAGCUCGUCCGCCGGUGGUGCCGGAAAGAAAAAACGCAAGUUUGGUAGAGAAGAAGAGAUUUGAUGUUUGGUGAUAAAGAAGGAACAUGCGGUCAAAGUUCGCAGCAGUAACAGUAGCAGUAGCAGUAGCAACAACAGCAACAGCAACAGCAACACCAGCUACACCCUGCUCCAAGAUCCGAUCCGAAUGUUGGAGGAGGCGCUUGCGCGCAGGUUGCAUGGCCCCGUUUCUCCCCCUUCUUCUCCCUCUUCUUCUCUUGGCCCUCGUGACCCCGGGUGUGUGCACCACCAGCAAGCAGCACCAGCAGCAGCAGCAAGGCUGCUUGUGCUCGUGAGACUGCGUCCCACCCUGAGUGGCCGAUCCUCGCGAGAACAGUAACGUUGUAUCGUUCUAUCGUGCAUCAUCUGUCUCUCUCUCUUUUUCUCUCUUUGCUUAUCUAUCUAUCUAUCUAUCUAUCUAUCUAGAAAGCUAGCUAGCUAGCUAUCUAUUUAUCUUUCUCUCUCACUCGCUUAUUCAUUCUCCGUCUCUCUCUAUCUUCGUCUCUGACUCUAUCUUUCUCUCUCUCGCUCGCUCGCUCGCUCUACGUCUCUGGUUCUGGCUUUAGUGCGCCCUUCAAAUUUAUAUCGAGAAAAAAAUAAAGAAAAAAGGACAGCUUUUCUCGAGAAAACAUCUCUUUCGGGGACGAAGAAGAGAAAAUGUCUGGAUCCUCUCGAGUUUUCUUCGCAUUUGGAGAUGUUGUUAUAUUUGUAAUGAAUGUUGCAAUAUAAUUAGUCGGUUUAAUUACUCGUGUGUGUGUUUAUAUAUAUAUAUAUAUAUAUAUAUAUAUAUAUAUAUUAUAUAUAUGUAAAGAAAAAAAGAAAUUCGGAAAACUCACGAAAACGUUCGCGCCGUUAACGCGACCUCUGACCUUUGAGUGUACGCACGAGCGCGCGCGCGUAAAAGAGAGAUUGAGAGAGAGAGAGAGAGAAAGAGUACAUCAAUCGAAUGCGUUUUAUACGAUUUCGAAGGAUAAUUCAUGUUUCAUGUCAGAUGACACAUUUUGAGCAAAUCUGAGAUUAAAAGGAGAGACUCUAAGAUUGGUAAUUUUCUUUACUUUUCUUUUUUUUUUCUUUCCUUUUCUUUUCUUUCUUUAAUUGGUUGUUCUAUGACAAAGAAAGAUUUUUGUUUGAUAAUGGAAUUCUAUUGGUACGUCAUGUGUGAUAUAUAAAUGACGAGUGAUCCAGCCUAAAACGAGAAGUCUUUCGUGGAUCUAUAAAGAUGCGUAUUUUCGUCUGGAGACAUUGCGUUUCGUUGGACGGUAAGAAAUUUAUUGUUUAAUACAUACAUAUAUAUAUAUUUAUAUAUAUAUAUAAAUAUUUGAUUGGUUUUAUAAUAAACGAUGUUGAAAUUCAUAUUAAAAAAAGACCGAAGUGGACGUGUGAGCUUUAUCGAAUUUAUCAACAUUUUUAAUAAUAAAAU